Molecule: non-coding RNA, 50 nt
Organism: Defluviimonas sp. 20V17
Lineage: Bacteria; Pseudomonadati; Pseudomonadota; Alphaproteobacteria; Rhodobacterales; Paracoccaceae
Source: Rfam
UGACUGCCACAACGGCUUCCUGGCGUGGCGGCGUAACCCCGAAUGGAGCA